ACUCAGAAUGAGCAGAAAAUUCUUUUGUAUUUGCGGUCAGCUAUCCAGAUAAGUCAGUCAUCCCAAAGAUAAUUUGGAAUCCCUUGUCAUCUCAAAGUAGUCCAUUAUCUGGGAAAGGGAUGGAGAGUGCUGUGAUACUGAAACUAUUUUCCUGACUGCUGUUCUGGCCCACUGUCAUUUCAUACCUAUUGACCAAUAAGAUAUUAGAAGUAUUAAAAGCUACAGCACUGAAAGCUGAAAAGAGUAAAGAGAGUUUCACAUGUAAGAUAAGGAAUGUGUUCCUAAUGUGAAUGGGAAGGUAUGAAUGAGGAGGUGCACUGCAUCAAGAAAGAUGGCCCUGGUGUAACGCUUCCUGGCAGGUUGGAUGUCACUCUUGGGGGCUCCUCUUUCAAUUGCACAGGCCUCAGUGGUCGCAUGUUUGGCACUGGUGAAGGAAGAGCUAGGUUGAACUGCAUACUACAGUGAUGUGUCUGGCACCUUGAGGAUGAUUUAGGGAGGGUAAGUAAAACACUUUUGCCUGUCAUGAAAAGGACAGAUCACGAUCAGUCUGUCACAUAUAAUUUGACAAUUUGCAAUGCUUGAACAACGGGAGGCCAAGGAACAUAUUUCAAACAUUGCUACUGAUAGAAGAGUUUUACAGUAGCUCCCAAUUUCUAUGCUGAAUAAAAGUCCUGAUUAAAAACAGUGGUAUAAUAGAUGGCCAUGAAGACUUGGUGCACUGGAACCAAAGGAGUUGCCUGAUUAGUUUUGGUCUUCAAGUUGAUAAUUUUUUAACAUGCAUGGGAAAUCAACUUCUAUGCUCCAAGGAUCAAGCAAGCAAGCAGGUGUGCUUCUUGGCAACUGAGAAUGAUACAGUGAAAAAAAAAGAGAAUAUUUCUACACAAAUUGCCAGCUAUGAUUUUAAGUAAAGCAAUGGCAGUAUGUGUCAGAUAUCUGAACACUAAAAUAAGAAUGUAAAAGUUUCAUCUUCUUUUGAAAUUUCUCAAAGGAACUUUAAAAAGUGCCCUGUCUCUACUUCUUGGAGAUAAUGGCCAUCUUCAAAGUGGAAAAUGUCAUAUGCUGUUGAUACAACAUUUAUUGGACAUAUGAGAAAUCACAUCAUAAAUAAAUAUCUUUCCACUGAGCCACCAUUUUAUGUUGUUUGAUAUACAGAAAAGCUGGGAAGUUGAGAAGAAAAAGGAGAUAAAGAAGAUGAAAACAAUUUUACUCAUGUGAUGACAAAAAUGACAUCCCUCAAAAAAAAAAAAAAGCCCCCCAAACCCAACCUGAGUGCAUCACAAAGCCUAUACCUUAGAAAGGAUGAAAAACAGCAAAACUGUUGCUGUUAGAGUGGAUCAAGCAAGGGUACAGUGAGCUUUCUGCUAAUUAAUUUAAAUUGUGGUUUUAUUCUGAAAACCAUGGCAUAGGAUUUCACACUGAUUAUCUCCCCAUAGUUUCCACAUAAAGUAUGCUCUGCAUACCAGUAAACAGUUCAUUAUUUCUCUUGUCCUACAAAGACUUGGAAGCACAGCUUGCCCUCUGAAAAGCAAGCCAAGUCUUCUGUUUCUUGUGAAUAAUCACCAGUUAGAGACUGAACCUGCUCUGUGUCACACAUAUACACCAGCAUUGCCUGUGAGUGGAUGACUGGAACAAUUCCAUUUGCAAUGAAAAAGAAGGAUGAACGAAAUCUCCUUCAUUGUCUUCCAAGUCGAUGCAGUGCGAAUCCCUCCUAACUUGUAGAAUUUGAGGCAGAGGAAAAGCAAGAACAGAAUUGAUUCUGCAGAAAAGGAAGCAGCUGCUACUGCACUCUGGUGAACACAUUUGUAAAGGUUUCCAUUUUUAUGUAGAAUGGCAGGCUACUGGAAAGAGGAAGAAGCCUUGUCUGAUCAUUUCUCCAAAACCUGUUCAACUGCAAUGCAAUAUUCCAAUUUCUUGAUAUAUCAAAAUGAUUUUGAGAAGAGACUCUGCUGCUGGUGUUGUGCUACAUCUUCAGGCAUCUUCAUCUAGUUCUCUGUGGAGCAGCUGGAGAGAAAAUAAUCUCUGUUCUUGAUGAAUAGUUUGGAUUCUGAAGCAGGCUUUUGUAGUUCCCUGUGGUCUCUUUGAAUUAUCAAUUUUUAAAAAUUAUCUUAUUAUUCAGUGAACACAAUGGGCCUCCCAGCUUGGUUCCAUCUACAUAACUAACACGCAUACUUUCUACUCUAUCAUCUAGGCUCAGAAUGAAAAUUUUAAAUGGUACUGGGCCCAGGAAGCAAGAACUCCUCUUACUCCACAACAUAGGUCGACACGGAAUGCUAAUAACUAUGCUGAUUAAAAUUUCAGUUAGGCAUCAACUGCAUUAAGAUAUACGGUUUGCAAUUUUUUUCCUGUCUCUAUAUCUUCUAACCUACAUGUAGAAGGAAAUCUUUUCAAUUUGACAUAUGUCAGACAUUCUAAGCUCAUGUGCUAUCAUAGUCACAGUACAGUCAGUGUAUAUGUUCAUUUCUUCUUUGCACAACUAUGGCAGUUUUACUGUAAGAAGUACUGCAAUUUUUGGAGAAGAUCUGUGGUCACAUUAACACACAAACUUGCUGUUCAUCAUGCAAGUAUAUUUCUGCUGCAGGCUCCCAAAGCUAAACUACCCUUUCCAGCUUUUACCAGAGCUAACAUAAGAACAGAAAACCAUUGGGUUAAAAUAAAACUCCACGUUACCCUGCUGAUGCUGGAAGUAUCAAAGACUGGAAAAGUGUAAGAUCAGGUCAAGCUUUAAUGAUUCUAUUCCUGAAUACCUGGCUUGUCUCCAGCAGCAGACAGCUCAGAGAUUUUCUACGCCAGGCCUGGCAGCAUCCCGAGGCAAAGAGUUACAUGGUUUGGCUGCACAUCACUGGUUAGCUAACAGCCUCCUGUAUUUGUGUAGAACCUGAUAUAUUCUAGCUUCAUUUAACAUUGUUUUUUCCCCUCUUACUGGAAGUAGAAAUUAGUAAUUGAUCCAAACUCACCUUCCCUGUAUUUGAUAGAUACAUACGAUAUUCUUCCCUAGUCAUCUCUUGCCAGGCUGAAGUGCCCUAGCCUAAUUCAUUGUACCUUGCAUGGAUACCUUUCCAAUCUACUGAUCAUCCUUCCCUACUUGUUACUAUAAGUAUAUCUUUCCUGGAUAUCAGGAAGGAUGAAACAGGAUGGUACAUAAGAGUUCAAAAUAUGCGCACAUCAGAGAUUUGUGGAAUGGCAUAAAAAAUCUUUCUGCCAGUUGUCCAUUCUUUGUCAUCAGAAAGUUUCAGAGGAGAAUUGGAACAGGUUGCCCAGAGAUGGGGGAUGCCUCAUUCUUGGAGACGUUCAGGAUCAGGCUGGCUGGGGCUCCGAGCAACCUGAUCUGGCUGUGGGUAUCCCUGUUCACUGCCGGGAAAUUGGCCUGGAUGACCCCAAAAAGUUCCUUUCAACUCAAAUGAUUCUAUGAUUCUAUAGCUGUCUGAAGCCUCUUGGCUCUUCUGUCAUUGUAGAAUUGGCCCUGUUGGUGUUAAUAUGAGUCAGAGGUUUAUAAUUCUUAGGCUCAUCUGCUGGAGAUACUAUUAGUUGAAAAAUUAAAAUUUUAUCAGUAAGUAGGAUUGUGGCCUUCAAACUUUGGAACUCUCAAACAAUAAUAAUAAUAAUAAUAAUUAUUAUUAUAAAAAUUGCAGCCCUCAAACUGUUUCUGAGAAAGAAAUAGGUCUAGAAAUCAAAAAGAAAGGUAAAAUUGAUGUUUUUUUUUUUUUUUUUUUUUGUUAAAGGGUUUAUCAUUUAGCUAGUUUCUGAGGAAGUAGUUUCUGAGGGGCAAAUAGAUGUUUCAAGGCUUCACACACAGUCAUAAUACAUAUGUAAUCAUCUCAAUCAUCUUAGUGUAUUUACCAAGUUCCAUCUUGAAACCUCAGAGGUGCUUUUAACACCCAGUAAUAAUAUAGACAGAGCUAGAAAUCUAUUGAUGAUUAAGAACUUUCUAUCUUACAUUAAUUACUGUCCAUUUUACACCACAGCCUUCUCUCUCUAUUGAUGGAGAAUAAUAUGCUUUCUCAUUAGUUAUUUCCCUGUAGUAAAACACAGGCCAUGUUUUCUGUCUUCUCUUACUUACUUGACUCUCCAUUACUUUGAUCUAGAAUUUUUCUCCUCCCAUUCCAACUUGAAUAAUUCUAUAGAUAAGUAGAACAGUGCUACCAGUGCUAUUUCAGACUGGUAGACUCUUCUGAGAUAUCCCUUACUCAAAAAGCUCUCCAACAAUGGCCUUACCAUUGAAGUAAUAUCUACUGGAAAUAUUUCACAAGAUGCAGUCUAUAAUUACAGACUUUUUAAUCUUAUUUCCUAGCUUCACAAUGCUGUAUUUUCUCAUCCUGAGGUGAACUAAUUCUCUAAGUUCACUCACCCUUUCUUUUGUUUCAUUCACUUUGAAGUGGGGUUAGUGGAAACAUUCUAUGAAGCCUUGAAUAAAGAUUUUAUGGAUAAGGAAUGUUAGUAAAGUCUGAUAACUCUUACAUAAAUUUCAUUUGACUAACAUAAAGUAAUUCAAUUCUUCAUGUGAUUCUCUUUCCAAGAAAUUAGAUUGAUUUAAUCUCCUUAUCAUAUAAACAUGAUUAUCUAAAAAUCCCAUUGUAUUGGUUCAAUAAAGUGCAAAA
This 4595-nucleotide long non-coding RNA is filed under the name Gallus gallus (chicken). RNAcentral's name for it is "lncRNA (ENSGALG00010004989.1)". The record is from RNAcentral. Lineage: Eukaryota; Metazoa; Chordata; Aves; Galliformes; Phasianidae.